RNAcentral lists this ribosomal RNA (253 nucleotides) under uncultured bacterium. Its description in RNAcentral is "partial 16S ribosomal RNA". It matches the Rfam family "Bacterial small subunit ribosomal RNA", at positions 524 to 776 of the family's 1533-position model. The record is from RNAcentral.
UACAGAGGUGGCAAGCGUUGUUCGGAAUUACUGGGCGUAAAGGGCUCGUAGGCGGCCAACUAAGUCCGACGUGAAAUCCCCAGGCUUAACCUGGGAACUGCGUCGGAUACUGGUUGGCUUGAAUCCGGGAGAGGGAUGCGGAAUUCCAGGUGUAGCGGUGAAAUGCGUAGAUAUCUGGAGGAACACCGGUGGCGAAGGCGGCAUCCUGGACCGGCAUUGACGCUGAACAGCGAAAGCCAGGGGAGCAAACGGG